GUUGUGAGGUUAAGCGAACAAGCGUACACGGUGGAUGCCCUGGCAGUCAGAGGCGAUGAAGGACGUGCUAAUCUGCGAAAAGCGCCGGUAAGGUGAUAUGAACCGUUAUAACCGGCGAUGUCCGAAUGGGGAAACCCGGUGCACUUCGGUGCAUCAUCGUUAGCUGAAUACAUAGGCUAACGAGGCGAACCGGGGGAACUGAAACAUCUAAGUACCCCGAGGAAAAGAAAUCAACCGAGAUUCCCCCAGUAGCGGCGAGCGAACGGGGAACAGCCCAGAGCCUGAAUCAGCUUGUGUGUCAGUGGAACGGUCUGGAAAGGCCGGCGAUACAGGGUGACAGCCCCGUACACGAAGGCACACAGGCUGUGAGCUCGAUGAGUAGGGCGGGACACGUGAUAUCCUGUCUGAAGAUGGGGGGACCAUCCUCCAAGGCUAAAUACUCCUGACUGACCGAUAGUGAACCAGUACCGUGAGGGAAAGGCGAAAAGAACCCCGGCGAGGGGAGUGAAACAGAACCUGAAACCGUGUACGUACAAGCAGUGGGAGCCUUCGUAAGAGGGUGACUGCGUACCUUUUGUAUAAUGGGUCAGCGACUUAUAUUCUGUAGCAAGGUUAACCGUAUAGGGGAGCCGAAGGGAAACCGAGUCUUAA
Molecule: ribosomal RNA, 651 nt
Filed under: Cronobacter sakazakii
Lineage: Bacteria; Pseudomonadati; Pseudomonadota; Gammaproteobacteria; Enterobacterales; Enterobacteriaceae
Description: partial 23S ribosomal RNA
Rfam family: Bacterial large subunit ribosomal RNA
Source: RNAcentral